Molecule: signal recognition particle RNA, 93 nt
Filed under: Alphaproteobacteria bacterium
Lineage: Bacteria; Pseudomonadati; Pseudomonadota; Alphaproteobacteria
Description: signal recognition particle sRNA small type
Rfam family: Bacterial small signal recognition particle RNA
About the family: The signal recognition particle (SRP) is a universally conserved ribonucleoprotein involved in the co-translational targeting of proteins to membranes. Archaeal SRP consists of a 7S RNA and homologues of the eukaryotic SRP19 and SRP54 proteins. In most bacteria, the SRP consists of a 4.5S RNA and the Ffh protein (a homologue of the eukaryotic SRP54 protein).
Source: RNAcentral
UGGAGGGUGGCUCCGACAGGACGCCUCAAAACCCCGCCAGGCCGGAAACGGAGCAACGGUAUGAGGCAGAAUGGGUGGGGCCACUUUUCGUUU